Molecule: transfer RNA, 90 nt
Filed under: Streptomyces alkaliphilus
Lineage: Bacteria; Bacillati; Actinomycetota; Actinomycetes; Kitasatosporales; Streptomycetaceae
Also listed under: 3 other names
Description: tRNA-Ser
Rfam family: tRNA
About the family: Transfer RNA (tRNA) molecules are approximately 80 nucleotides in length. Their secondary structure includes four short double-helical elements and three loops (D, anti-codon, and T loops). Further hydrogen bonds mediate the characteristic L-shaped molecular structure. tRNAs have two regions of fundamental functional importance: the anti-codon, which is responsible for specific mRNA codon recognition, and the 3' end, to which the tRNAs corresponding amino acid is attached (by aminoacyl-tRNA synthetases). tRNAs cope with the degeneracy of the genetic code in two manners: having more than one tRNA (with a specific anti-codon) for a particular amino acid; and 'wobble' base-pairing, i.e. permitting non-standard base-pairing at the 3rd anti-codon position.
Source: RNAcentral
GGUAGCGUGUCCGAGCGGCCUAAGGAGCUCGCCUCGAAAGCGAGUGUGGGGGCAACUCCACCGAGGGUUCAAAUCCCUCCGCUACCGCCA